CACGAUGUGGCCCCCGUGGUGUAUACGUCUUCAAAGUGCUGCCACGUUGCUCCAGCUCUGAAGACGCCGAUGCAGAGCGCCAGAUCAAGAAAACGCGCUUGCUGAACCGCAAGCUGACGGCUACGCUGAAACGCCUGCCGUGUGUUCGAAUCUUGAACGCCGAGCAUCGGUUUCUCAAUUCCUCGAAAGAGCCACGACGUGCGUUCUUAGCAAUUGAUGGGUACCAUGUGCACAGAGGCCAAGGGAUCGAUCAGCUGGCCAAAAUCAUCGUCAGUUCUCUUGCCCGUGACUUCGGACCUGGAGUGAAGUCACAUGCACACAGCGAGCUGGGUAUCUGCUACAGGCUGCUGAAAUGCAGCCACUGCAACACAAAAGGCCACGAAGUCCUGCGAGUGCAGCAAAUUCCUUCGCCUACCUUCCCAACAUGAACCAAGACUGCUUUAGAUCAUCUUAAUGUGUAAAGCAGCACACAAAAACAAGACAUGAAAGGAGGAAUACAAUUGAACAGGCCAACCACUGCACUUGCAAUUAGCUUAUUUUGAAGGGAAAAAAAGGAGGGGGUAAUACACAUAUGCACAAGUGCACAACAUUCAAAUUUUUUUAAGCACCGUUAUGAGCAAAAGUCAUUGUUGCAUGUGGUGCACUUGUGGGUAUGUACUAUAUACAUAUUUUUUAAAAGAAUAAACUAGUGGCAAGUGCAACAGUUGUCCUGUUGAAUCAUAUUAAUCCUCUUGUGUCUUUUUUUCUGUGCGCUGCUUUACAUGUUCAGAUGCUCUGUCACCAAUUCACCCGACUUUCAACCUUACUGAAACUUGGCAAAUGCUGCCUGCCAUGAAACGGCCCUUUUCAGGGCCACUCAUGUGUUGUCCGGCUGGUUGCGAAUGCUCCCAACUGUUAACCAGAUAGCCUCCUUGAAACUUGAGAGGAGUUGUGCGGCGCAUGUUGACUCUGCUGGCUGUAUAUUACUUUUGUAUAAUUAAGAUUGUGCCACAGGGUCUUUCAAUUGAAAGUAAUACAUAUAGCAUGACCUUGCAUUAUCUUUCAUAAAUGCUAAUCACUACUCGAACAAAUCGAGAACGUUUCUGUAUUGCAGCAAAUAAAUGUAGAAAUUGCAUAUGU
Long non-coding RNA from Rhipicephalus sanguineus (brown dog tick), 1119 nucleotides. RefSeq lists it as uncharacterized. The record is from RefSeq and is a predicted model, not a curated record. The transcript is spliced from 2 exons. NCBI's taxonomy places the organism in Eukaryota, Metazoa, Arthropoda, Arachnida, Ixodida, Ixodidae.